UAGGUCUGCGGAGACAUUACUGAUUUGCUUAAUUGCACCACAUGUGUUUUUUAUUGAACAAAUUUCUUUGGUGGCGGGAGCAAUCCUACCGCCAGAGGUUAUAACUAAACCAAACUUUUUAUUUACAGUCAAACUUGAUUUAUUAUUACAAUAGUCAAAACUUUCAACAACGGAUCUCUUGGUUCUCGCAUCGAUGAAGAACGCAGCGAAAUGCGAUACGUAAUAUGAAUUGCAGAUAUUCGUGAAUCAUCGAAUCUUUGAACGCACAUUGCGCCCUUUGGUAUUCCAAAGGGCAUGCCUGUUUGAGCGUCAUUUCUCCCUCAAACCCCCGGGUUUGGUGUUGAGCAAUACGCUAGGUUUGUUUGAAAGAAUUUAACGUGGAAACUUAUUUUAAGCGACUUAGGUUUAUCCAAAAACGCUUAUUUUGCUAGUGGCCACCACAAUUUAUUUCAUAACUUUGACCUCAAAUCAGGUAGGACUACCCGCUGAACUUAAGCAUAUCAAAAGCCGGAGAAA
Molecule: ribosomal RNA, 516 nt
Filed under: Candida tropicalis
Lineage: Eukaryota; Fungi; Ascomycota; Pichiomycetes; Serinales; Debaryomycetaceae
Description: eukaryotic LSU rRNA
Rfam family: 5.8S ribosomal RNA (bases 159-312)
Source: RNAcentral